GAAUUAAGCUGAAGUUUACGUAUAUUUACACAUUUUCUCUUAGUACUCGUUGGAAUUCGCAGGCGCACUAGGUAAAGUUUCACAGAGUACAUCACAGUUUGUCAUUAAUACUCUUUUGGGUACCUCUAAAAUUCCCGUUUGCAUACUACACGCCACGGUACUCGUAAACGGUUUACCACGUCCGAGACGGUGUGGCCAGCGCCAGCUGCUAUUCGGCCGGUCUAUUAACUGCGCAAAUCGCCCAAUGACAGAAAGCAACGAAAAUAAAAAGCAAGUACGGAAAACAUUGGCAGGCUCGCAGGCAAUGAUGCUGACUUUUGGUAUUGGAAAGAUUCCGAUUCAUUUCUACAAACGAAUGAUUUCUUGUGUCACAUUUGUUAUUUCCCAUCUGUAUUUCUCUUUGUGUAGAAGAAUUGCAAAGUUACAUUAAAGAAAGUGGAGGGGAAAUUGUUACAGGGAGAGUUUUGCAGCAUGUUAUGACAACAUUGUCUCCAACAGACUUUAAUAUAACAGUAAACGAUCCCGAUCAUGAUUUUUUUCGUGGUAACACUGUCUCUUUGUGUGAUACUGCAGUCGAAGUCCUCGCGUUCCUGAGGCUCUGAAAGUGAAAGCGUCGCUCCUGCAGUACUGCUGAUGUCGGUCAAGUUGAAUUCAACAUGGUGAAACCUAAUGAAAAGGGAAAGAACGCAUUGCAUUUACGAGAGAUAGAAACAGUUGUUACGAAAAGCCGGUUGUUGGAAGGAACGAGAAGCAAUUCUUUCCAACUUGUUCCAGAUGUUUUGUCUUUGAAGUCGUCAUCCCUAACUGAACGCGAAGAGGAACUUUCAAGGGGUUUUCUUAAGUAUAAAAAAGGUAAAUCAUUCUUAAAUGAUGCCCACCUGCAAGUCUAAUGAGAAAUGUUGUGUGUUGUUAUUCUUCUCACGUUAUUCUUCUCACUGAAUAACCAAGUCCUGAAUAAAACACGAGACUGCUA
This 973-nucleotide long non-coding RNA is filed under the name Daphnia magna. RNAcentral describes it as "uncharacterized LOC123477149, transcript variant X2". The record is from RNAcentral. Lineage: Eukaryota; Metazoa; Arthropoda; Branchiopoda; Diplostraca; Daphniidae.